Molecule: RNA transcript, 878 nt
Organism: Jatropha curcas
Lineage: Eukaryota; Viridiplantae; Streptophyta; Magnoliopsida; Malpighiales; Euphorbiaceae
Source: RefSeq, a predicted model, not a curated record
UCUCUUUGGACUUUGAAGCGUGAUCUGGUGAUUUUUAGCUCCGCAGCUAAACCUCGAAUAAACCCUCAAUCCUCAGAACCCUUUCCCAGAUUUCCUUCCUCUCUAUCUCUCUCUGCAGCUUCUAGCAUGGCCUCCUCUUGUCACCGAUUCAUCAGCAGAUCAUCUCUAUCGUCCAUUAAAUCCGCUAUCAGAUCUAACGCUCCAAAAUCUCCGAUUACUAGAUCUCCCACUUCUCCCUCUCUCUCGGCCUCUCCUCGUUUACCUUCCUCUUCCCUUCCUCGCCGCUUUUCCUUCUCAUCCAGGUCUCCGUCUGAGCUAGGAUGCGUGCAGUCGUUGCUGCCGCUACACAGUGUCGUGGCGGUGGCGAGGAUGACUUCAUGCUUGAGUACGACAUCGAGGAGUUGCCGAGCGCUCUCACAGGGUACACUCUGCUGCACCUCUCCCGGCCUCUAAUAGCUUUUAUUACUAUGUUUUAGAGUGCACAUAAUUUGAAAGAAAUAAAUUCAGGACCCGUCAAUUAUGGCCAACUGCAUCUUUAUCAAAUGGAGUUGAUGGUACGUGAAACAUGUGUGCUGUUUUUGGAGAGCUUGGCCUGUCAGUUCCAAGGUGACUUGUUUGGAAAGAAUCAAUAUGAUAUGGGAGAACAUCUUCACAUGAAUGGAGAAGCAAAGCCUAGUAGCUUUUCAUUUUUUGAAGAGUUUUUGUCAAUCUAUAAAAUGCUGCUGAACCUUCAAAGCAGUAGAGCUGAUUUUGAUUCUCCAUAACACACAGGAUAAUUUUCUUCUGAGAUGUAGCAUUAAAUGCUAUUGUUUAACACCAUCAGUGUAUGCUCGAUUGGAUAAAUGCUUUAAAUAUUAUUUUCUAGUAUCUUUCCCUAA